AUUUUGCAGUUUAUCGGCUGGCAUUAGAUGCCGGCCUGCGCUUUCCCCUUCACCCUUUCAUCAGCCAACUUCUUCAGUAUUACGGCAUAGGACAUAAUCAGCUUGCCCCUAACUCUUGGCAAAACAUCCUUACCUUUCUGGCCGUCUGCAACUUAAAGGGAAAGGACCCUUCUCUGGCCGCUUUCACCCAUAUUCACUACGUUGCCAAGGUCCCUAGGACCAUUGAAGGAAGCUGGCUGAGCGUGUGCAACCGUCAAGGAUUCUUGACGUCUUGGGAUAAGACUUCCAAGAUGCACUCAUGGAAGGGCGAGUUCCUCUUUGUCCAGGCGCCCAAUAAAGCGGUGGCAAACCGUCUUCGGUAUUUUAGCCGGACAACCACAAAUACUGGACGGAUGGCCUCAUACCUGGAACUGGAGAGUAACUCUGCCGAAGAGAUGGUGGAGUACUUCCGGGUUUCGGAGUAUACUAUGGAAGAUGUUUCUUUCAAGGGUCCGUCCAAUUGGAUUCCUUUUAAGGAAAUGUUUUACCAUGACAACUUCCUAGUCGCUGCCGGCUUACGGCAGGACGAGGACAGAGAUUCAGCCAGGAGCAAACUAAGGAAGUCUUGGAUUGGAGACAUGAGCUCGUCCAGAUUUGCGGAUACUCUAUGGAAGGAGUACAGUAAGUCAGGUGCCGAAAAGAGGGCCGACACUCUG
Molecule: long non-coding RNA, 695 nt
Organism: Beta vulgaris subsp. vulgaris (sugar beet)
Lineage: Eukaryota; Viridiplantae; Streptophyta; Magnoliopsida; Caryophyllales; Amaranthaceae
Exons: 2
Source: RefSeq, a predicted model, not a curated record